Molecule: ribosomal RNA, 388 nt
Filed under: uncultured bacterium
Lineage: Bacteria
Description: bacterial SSU rRNA
Rfam family: Bacterial small subunit ribosomal RNA
Source: RNAcentral
ACUGAACGCUGGCGGAAUGCUUUACACAUGCAAGUCGGGCGGCAGCGCGGGGGCAACCCUGGCGGCGAGCGGCGAACGGGUGAGUAAUACAUCGGAACGUGUCCUUGAGUGGGGGAUAGCUCGGCGAAAGCCGGAUUAAUACCGCAUAAGCUCUGAGGAGGAAAGCGGGGGACUGGUAACGGCCUCGCGCUGUUGGAGCGGCCGAUGUCGGAUUAGCUAGUUGGUGGGGUAAAGGCCCACCAAGGCGACGAUCCGUAGCUGGUCUGAGAGGAUGAUCAGCCACACUGGAACUGAGACACGGUCCAGACUCCUACGGGAGGCAGCAGUGGGGAAUUUUGGACAAUGGGGGCAACCCUGAUCCAGCCAUUCCGCGUGAGUGAAGAAGGCC